UUUGCCGUGUGCCUGAUCAAGAGCGCAUUAUCUCUCCCCCUGGUUUGUCAAAUUUGUCGGUUGGCUGAAAGGGAGAGUGGAGCAGCUCAUGAGAAACUAUCCCAUGUAUAAAUUUCAUGAAUGAAAAUCAUAUGAUACGGUUUCACCCACCAAAGUUUGUUCGUCCUAUGAAUAGUUUUCCUUCCUUUAAUCAUUUUGUUUCUAACCAAACACAUACAGCAUUGAGAGCGGGUUGCGUCCCACCGAACAAUGGUUGGAGUUUCUUUGAGUGAGUCAGUCUCAAAUGUUUCUAGCAUACAGAUGUCUAGGAUUUGAUUAGUAAAAAAAAUUCAAUGUUGUGGAUGGUCAUGUCCCAAGUUCAGAGCUAAUCAGAGUGCAGUUGAAAGUGAUACAAAAAUACCUGAAUGAGGCCAAUACAAUAAUACAAACUUGCGGAAGGAUGGACAAUGAAUACAAUCUACUCCAAAUCAACAACCACCCUGCAGAAAUCAAUGAUGUAUUGGUCAGUAAUAAAAGGACAGAAUGAAUGGGAAUAGUAAGCGUUAUGACAGAUUCAUCCCUACUAGCACAGACUUGAUGCAGCAAGGUUGGUGGCUGUUGGCAUCAAAGAUAAAAAGAUUCAGUGAC
This 627-nucleotide long non-coding RNA is filed under the name Vitis vinifera (wine grape). Its description in RNAcentral is "long non-coding RNA (VVIN_LNC002562)". Lineage: Eukaryota; Viridiplantae; Streptophyta; Magnoliopsida; Vitales; Vitaceae. The record is from RNAcentral.